This 243-nucleotide long non-coding RNA is filed under the name Vicia faba (fava bean). Lineage: Eukaryota; Viridiplantae; Streptophyta; Magnoliopsida; Fabales; Fabaceae. The record is from RNAcentral.
AUGUACACUUUUGUAACGCAGGACUUGUAUUCAGUUUGGACAGGUUUUCCUUCAAGAUUUGCAAACUCUAGCCCUCAUACAACAAAGUUUUCAAUUUAUUCUAUUUUCCAUUAUUUUUUCAGAAAAGAAUUUUGGCAAAUUAAAACAAGGCAAUGGCAUCAAUUUGAAUCAAACUUAGUGUAUAGAAUUCAAGCUCAUGUGUGGAUAUGUUUUUUCUUUGUAUUGCUUGGAAUUUUCUUGUAA